CAGCCGCCCCAUGCCGCCGUCCCCCGCCGCGUCCGCCCCGGCGAGCCGCCACCUGCGACUCUGGUGGCGCCGCCGCGGCCGGGCCGGCGCCGUCGCGGCCACCUUCGCCGCGGCACUCCUCGCCGCGGCCCUCCUCCUCUCGCUCUCCUACUUCGCCUCCCUGCCCCUCGCGCCCGCCUCCUCCGCCCUCGUCGGCCUCACCCUCCUCCGCCGCGCCGAGGAGAAGGGCGCGCUGUGCUUGGAUGGGAGCGCGCCGGGGUACCAUCUGCAGCGAGGGUCAGGGAGUGGCUCUCAGAGCUGGCUCAUCCACUUGGAGGGUGGAGGCUGGUGCCGAAAUUUGAAAUCAUGCGCUUCACGCCAGAAAUCGAUGUUGGGUUCUUCCCAUUACAUGGAACGUCAGGUUGAGUUUGCUGGGAUGUUGAGCGAUGAUGAAGAUCAGAAUCCAGAUUUUCACAACUGGAAUAAAGUGAAGAUAAGGUAUUGUGAUGGGGCAUCAUUUUCUGGGAACGUUAAAGACGAGUUGCAGAACGGCACAAAAUUCUUUUUCAGAGGCCAGCGUAUCUGGGAAGCAGUUAUGGACGAACUUCUAAUGAAGGGGCUCAGACAUGCUAAACAGGCUUUUCUAACAGGAUGCUCUGCUGGUGGGUUAGCCACUUACAUUCACUGUGAUGGUUUUCGGGCACUGCUGCCAAAAGAUUCUAGGGUUAAGUGUCUUGCGGAUGGUGGUUUUUUCCUUGAUGUAGAAGACAUUUCCAAGCAAAGGACCUUGCGGGCUUUCUACAGUGACGUUGUCCGCCUUCAGGAUCUUAAGAGGAAGUUUUUGCACUGCAGUUCAAGCAUGGAUCCAGGCCAGUGCUUCUUUCCUCGUGAGGUUGUUAAAGACAUCAGAACACCAGUAUUUAUUCUUAAUCCAGCAUAUGAUGCCUGGCAGGUACAACAUGUGUUGGCACCAGAAGCAUCAGAUCCCCAACAUUCAUGGCAAGACUGUAGAUUGGAUAUUAGCAAGUGCAGUCCUGACCAACUUGAAAUACUCCAAGGUUUUAGGGAAGAACUGCAUGACGCGAUGAGAGAAAUCAAGCAGAAAAAGGACUGGGGUAUUUUCAUUGACUCCUGCUUUAUACACUGUCAGACGUUGAACUCUUUGACUUGGCACUCUCCAUCUUCUCCUAGAGUCAACAACAAGACCAUGGCAGAAGCAGUUGGAGACUGGUUCUUUGACAGGAGAGAGGUGAAGGAACUAGAUUGCGAAUAUCCGUGCAACCCAACGUGCCACAACUUGGUUUUUUCCAAGCCCUUCAAGGGAUAAAUUUACGAUUCUUUUAAAAAAAAAAUCUUUUCACGGUGAUGUAUCACCUAGCAGUUGUAAAAAUAGCAAAUUAUACAUAUGAAUAUAUCUGGACCGCAGUCAUAGGAGCCAAUUUCAUCAUCUCAAAAAAGAAAGGAGCCAAUUUCAGUGUCAAACGGAGAGGAGCCAGAAGCUGAUUUUGGUGAAUUCAUUCCAGAGGAGCCGUAUAGUGUACUGUAAACCUUUUUAAAAGAUUUCGGGGUGUAAUGAUCUAUAUAUAGUACACACCUUAAAACUGCAGUCUCUAAAUUGCUUCUCCCUUGUGGGCCCCACUUGUCAGUGGGAUACCUUUUUUCUUCUUCUCCUCCCCCUUCUCCCUUUCGGUCUUUCCCCUUCAUUGAGAGAGGUGGCGGGAUGCUCACGACCAUACAUGAAUGCCCAUGUGCUUCUUAUGGCAGUAUCGAACUACAUGAAAGCAUCCAUCUCAUGGUUGUGGCGUCACAUGGUGU
Molecule: RNA transcript, 1794 nt
Organism: Triticum dicoccoides
Lineage: Eukaryota; Viridiplantae; Streptophyta; Magnoliopsida; Poales; Poaceae
Gene name: pectin acetylesterase 5-like
Exons: 13
Source: RefSeq, a predicted model, not a curated record